AAGGAUCAUUAGAAAUGGCGGGGGAAGACUUGCUCUUCUCCCCAAAUCUCUAUUCUGUGCACUGUUUUUGUGUGCUGGGCUAGCUUUGGCUGGGUCAGCACGGGGUGGAGCUUGGAAACUGUUUGCUAUGAAUUUUCCCCCCGGGAAAAAGUUCCGCUGGAAAACUUUUUGACAUCUCCGCCGAAAUUUAAUACUAAUACUGACUGACCAUGAAAAAGUUAAUUAUAACAACUUUCAGCAAUGGAUCUCUCGGCUUUC
This 258-nucleotide unclassified non-coding RNA is filed under the name uncultured fungus. RNAcentral's name for it is "partial contains 18S rRNA, ITS1, 5.8S rRNA, ITS2 and 28S rRNA". Lineage: Eukaryota; Fungi. The record is from RNAcentral.